This 245-nucleotide unclassified non-coding RNA is filed under the name Glomus sp. Its description in RNAcentral is "partial contains 5.8S ribosomal RNA and internal transcribed spacer 2". The stretch from base 1 to 65 matches the Rfam family "5.8S ribosomal RNA", at positions 84 to 154 of the family's 154-position model. The record is from RNAcentral. Lineage: Eukaryota; Fungi; Glomeromycota; Glomeromycetes; Glomerales; Glomeraceae.
GUGAAUCAUCGAAUCUUUGAACGCAAAUUGCACUCUCUUCGGAGAGGAUGCCUGUUUGAGGGUCAGCCUAAAAAAAAUCAACGUAGUUGCUGUUACGCUGUAACAUUCGUCGGAAAUUGGGUCAUCUUAAACCUUUUGGUUUAAGCGGCUUAAAAUUUUCUUUACGACUCCAAGAACGUGUCUAAGAUUUUAUUUUCUUAUACUUUUAAGGUAUCUAUCUUUAUUAUACUUGGCCUUUCCAUCGG